AUUGAACGCUGGCGGAAUGCUUUACACAUGCAAGUCGAACGGCAGCACGGGAGCUUGCUCCUGGUGGCGAGUGGCGAACGGGUGAGUAAUGCAUCGGAACGUACCUUUUAGUGGGGGAUAACUAUCCGGAAGGAUAGCUAAUACCGCAUACGCCCUGAGGGGGAAAGCGGGGGAUCGCAAGACCUCGCGUGAUUGGAGCGGCCGAUGUCGGAUUAGCUAGUUGGUGGGGUAAAGGCCUACCAAGGCGACGAUCCGUAGCGGGUCUGAGAGGAUGAUCCGCCACACUGGGACGGAGACACGGCCCAGACUCCUACGGGAGGCAGCAGUGGGGAAUUUUGGACAAUGGGGGCAACCCUGAUCCAGCCAUGCCGCGUGAGUGAAGAAGGCCUUCGGGUUGUAAAGCUCUUUCAGACGGAAAGAAAACGCCCUUGUUAAUACCGGGGGUGGAUGACGGUACUGUCAGAAGAAGCACCGGCUAACUACGUGCCAGCAGCCGCCGUAA
Molecule: ribosomal RNA, 502 nt
Filed under: uncultured bacterium
Lineage: Bacteria
Description: partial 16S ribosomal RNA
Rfam family: Bacterial small subunit ribosomal RNA
Source: RNAcentral